RNAcentral lists this ribosomal RNA (253 nucleotides) under uncultured bacterium. Its description in RNAcentral is "partial 16S ribosomal RNA". It matches the Rfam family "Bacterial small subunit ribosomal RNA", at positions 524 to 776 of the family's 1533-position model. The record is from RNAcentral.
UACAGAGGCCUCGAGCGUUAGGCGGAAUCACUGGGCUUAAAGCGUGUGUAGGCGGACUUCUAAGUGCCUUGUGAAAUCCCACGGCUCACCCGUGGAACUGCUGGGCAUACUGGGAGUCUUGAGCCACCUAGGGGCGAGCGGAACAAAUGGUGGAGCGGUGAAAUGCGUAGAUAUCAGGAGGAACACCGGUGGCGAAGGCGGGUCUCUGGGCCAUAACUGACGCUGAGGAGCGAAAGCGUGGGGAGCGAACAGG